UGCCAGCAGCCGCGGUAAUACGGAGGGGGCUAGCGUUGUUCGGAAUCACUGGGUUUAAAGGGUGCGUAGGCGGCGCUAUAAGUCAGAGGUGAAAGGCCACAGCUUAACUGUGGGACUGCCUUUGAUACUGUAGUGCUUGAAUUAGGUUGAGGUCGGCGGAAUGUGACAUGUAGCGGUGAAAUGCUUAGAUAUGUCAUAGAACACCAAUUGCGAAGGCAGCUGACUAGACCUUAAUUGACGCUGAGGCACGAAAGCGUGGGGAGCGAACAGGAUUAGAUA
RNAcentral lists this ribosomal RNA (279 nucleotides) under uncultured bacterium. RNAcentral's name for it is "partial 16S ribosomal RNA". It matches the Rfam family "Bacterial small subunit ribosomal RNA", at positions 506 to 784 of the family's 1533-position model. The record is from RNAcentral.